GGAGACGUGGCCGAGCGGUCGAAGGCGGGCGCUUGGAGAGCGUCUGAGCGUAACAGCUCCUAGAGUUCGAAUCUCUACGUCUCCGCCA
This 88-nucleotide transfer RNA is filed under the name Synergistaceae bacterium. Its description in RNAcentral is "tRNA-Ser". It matches the Rfam family "tRNA". Rfam says of the family: Transfer RNA (tRNA) molecules are approximately 80 nucleotides in length. Their secondary structure includes four short double-helical elements and three loops (D, anti-codon, and T loops). The record is from RNAcentral. Lineage: Bacteria; Thermotogati; Synergistota; Synergistia; Synergistales; Synergistaceae.